RNAcentral lists this ribosomal RNA (673 nucleotides) under uncultured organism. Its description in RNAcentral is "bacterial SSU rRNA". It matches the Rfam family "Bacterial small subunit ribosomal RNA", at positions 1 to 663 of the family's 1533-position model. The record is from RNAcentral.
GGCUUAGAGUUUGAUCAUGGCUCAGGAUGAACGCUAGCUACAGGCUUAACACAUGCAAGUCGAGGGGCAGCAUGGUCUUAGCUUGCUAAGGCUGAUGGCGACCGGCGCACGGGUGAGUAACACGUAUCCAACCUGCCGUCUACUCUUGGCCAGCCUUCUGAAAGGAAGAUUAAUCCAGGAUGGGAUCAUGAGUUCACAUGUCCGCAUGAUUAAAGGUAUUUUCCGGUAGACGAUGGGGAUGCGUUCCAUUAGAUAGUAGGCGGGGUAACGGCCCACCUAGUCAACGAUGGAUAGGGGUUCUGAGAGGAAGGUCCCCCACAUUGGAACUGAGACACGGUCCAAACUCCUACGGGAGGCAGCAGUGAGGAAUAUUGGUCAAUGGGCGAUGGCCUGAACCAGCCAAGUAGCGUGAAGGAUGACUGCCCUAUGGGUUGUAAACUUCUUUUAUAAAGGAAUAAAGUCGGGUAUGCAUACCCGUUUGCAUGUACUUUAUGAAUAAGGAUCGGCUAACUCCGUGCCAGCAGCCGCGGUAAUACGGAGGAUCCGAGCGUUAUCCGGAUUUAUUGGGUUUAAAGGGAGCGUAGAUGGAUGUUUAAGUCAGUUGUGAAAGUUUGCGGCUCAACCGUAAAAUUGCAGUUGAUACUGGAUGUCUUGAGUGCAGUUGAGGCAGGCG